Molecule: ribosomal RNA, 301 nt
Filed under: uncultured bacterium
Lineage: Bacteria
Description: partial 16S ribosomal RNA
Rfam family: Bacterial small subunit ribosomal RNA
Source: RNAcentral
CAGCAGCCGCGGUAAUACGUAGGUCCCGAGCGUUGUCCGGAUUUAUUGGGCGUAAAGGGAGCGCAGGCGGUUUAGUAAGUCUGAAGUUAAAGGCAUUGGCUCAACCAAUGUAUGCUUUGGAAACUGUUAGACUUGAGUGCAGAAGGGGAGAGUGGAAUUCCAUGUGUAGCGGUGAAAUGCGUAGAUAUAUGGAGGAACACCGGUGGCGAAAGCGGCUCUCUGGUCUGUCACUGACGCUGAGGCUCGAAAGCGUGGGUAGCGAACAGGAUUAGAUACCCCAGUAGUCCCUGUCUCUUAUACA